Long non-coding RNA from Maniola jurtina (meadow brown), 98 nucleotides. RefSeq lists it as uncharacterized. The transcript has 3 exons. The record is from RefSeq and is a predicted model, not a curated record. NCBI's taxonomy places the organism in Eukaryota, Metazoa, Arthropoda, Insecta, Lepidoptera, Nymphalidae.
UUUAUUAAUUUUUAUAUAACAUAAUUAUAUUUAUAAUUUAGUCUGGUCCACCUCCCGAUCGUAAUACUGCCUUAAAUUUUCUGUGUCCAUAACGGAAG